AACUCCCGGCCUUCCCAAAAGAUGUCAGGAGGGCUGAUGAUGUGGCAGCAGGGGAGCGCAGCGCUGGCCGUGCGGGAAGGAGCGCGCGCCGCAGCCCGCGGGAGGGGGACGGGGACAGCCGCCCCCGGGGGGGACACCCGCCCCUCCGCCAGGCCCCGCAGCUUCAGAUGCACCAGGAGUGUUAUCAAACAUUAUGAAACAAUGAUAGAAGGAUCAUCAGCUGGAGGAGAUGCUGACUUUUCAGAAGCUGAGAUCUUUCAGAGUCACUGGGACUCAUGACACAACCUGUUGCUGUCACCAUCUCACCCAGACACAGAAUCCCGCAGCAGGAAAGGAAGAGCACCAGUCAACAGAACAGGCUGUGGACUGACAGAAGCUUCUGCUGAGAAGGGCCUGGGAGGUCCUUGUGGAUGCUAAGCUUCCAUGAGCCAGCAGUCUGAAAGGCCAAGAGCAUCCUGGGCUAUAUCAAGAGGAGCACAGCAAGCAAAUCAAGGUAAGUGAC
Molecule: long non-coding RNA, 502 nt
Organism: Falco peregrinus (peregrine falcon)
Lineage: Eukaryota; Metazoa; Chordata; Aves; Falconiformes; Falconidae
Exons: 3
Source: RefSeq, a predicted model, not a curated record